CAUCACCUGGCUCCCCCACUCAUUAACAAACAACAUCUGUGCGUGUUUUGAUGCCUUUCUGUUUAGAAUAACUGUGCAUUAUAAGGAGAAAGAGGCACCUGAUCACCACACACUUCUUGGAUUUUUAGUUAACCUAUCACCUUAACAGUUGGACAGCUGGUGGACGUUUUCAAGAAUGGCAAUUUUCUUCUUGCUGUUGACCACAGGGAAUGAGGAUUUCAGGAGGCCAACAAAUUUUUGCUUUCCUAGUGAGAAGAUGGGGCUAGGUGACUAACUGCUGACCAGUGAGGUGUGUGCCAAAGUGAUAUGAGAUGCUUCUACACUGCAGCCAGAAAAGGAAGAAGUACACCCACCUUCUGCUGCUGCUUCUAAAGCAAACUGGCUAGUGGUGAGCCAUGAAGAAUGUGAAGAUGAGGCAACACCUUGGAGUCACCUAAACUGCAUACACAAGAAGUCACCGCUAACAGACAUUACUUUCUGGUAUCCUGAGC
RNAcentral lists this long non-coding RNA (491 nucleotides) under Mus spicilegus (steppe mouse). Its description in RNAcentral is "lncRNA (ENSMSIG00000010430.1)". Lineage: Eukaryota; Metazoa; Chordata; Mammalia; Rodentia; Muridae. The record is from RNAcentral.